GAGGAUAUAGUUUAAUGGUAAAAUAGCUAGUUAUUUAGAAGAUAAGAGGUUCGAUUCCUUUUAACCCUCACCA
Molecule: transfer RNA, 73 nt
Filed under: Paraclostridium sordellii
Lineage: Bacteria; Bacillati; Bacillota; Clostridia; Peptostreptococcales; Peptostreptococcaceae
Description: Paeniclostridium sordellii tRNA-OTHER
Rfam family: tRNA
About the family: Transfer RNA (tRNA) molecules are approximately 80 nucleotides in length. Their secondary structure includes four short double-helical elements and three loops (D, anti-codon, and T loops).
Source: RNAcentral